UGUGCUAAUACCACAUUUAUUUGACGAAGGCUCCAAAGGAAGCCACGGCUAACUCUGUGCCAGCAGCCGCGGUAAUACAGAGGUGGCAAGCGUUGUUCGGAAUUAUUGGGCGUAAAGAGCACGUAGGUGGGUUUGUAAGUCAGAUGUGAAAGCCUUCUGUUCAACGGAAGAAUUGCAUCUGAAACUGCGAGUCUUGAGUGUAGGAGGGGAGAAUGGAACUUCUGGUGGAGCGGUGAAAUGUGUAGAUAUCAGAAGGAACGCCGGCGGCGAAAGCGAUUCUCUGGCCUAUUACUGACGCUCAGUGUGCGAAAGCUAGGGGAGCAAACGGGAUUAGAUACCCCGGUAGUCCUAGCCGUAAACGAUGGGCACUAAGUAGAGGGAAUUACCGAUGUUCUCUCUGCCGUAGCUAACGCAUUAAGUGCCCCGCCUGGGGAGUACGGCCGCAAGGCUAAAACUCAAAAGAAUUGACGGGGGCUCGCACAAGCGGUGGAGCAUGUGGCUUAAUUCGAUGCAACGCGAAGAACCUUACCGGGGCUUGACAUGGUAGAAGUAGGAACCCGAAAGGGUAACGAACGGUAUCCAGUCCGUAACUAUCACAGGUGUUGCAUGGCUGUCGUCAGCUCGUGUCGUGAGACGUUGGGUUAAGUCCCCUAACGAGCGAAACCCUUGUUUUUAGUUACCAGCGGGUUGUGCCGGGUACUCUAGAAAGACYSCCGUCGUCAAGACGGAGGAAGGUGGGGAUGACGUCAAGUCAUCAUGGCCCUUAUGCCCCGGGCUGCACACGUGCUACAAUGGUCGGUACAAACGGAAGCGAAGCCGAGAGGUGAAGCGAAUCCUAAAAAGCCGAUCUCAGUUCGGAUUGGAGGCUGAAAUUCGCCUCCA
This 882-nucleotide ribosomal RNA is filed under the name uncultured Planctomycetota bacterium. RNAcentral describes it as "bacterial SSU rRNA". It matches the Rfam family "Bacterial small subunit ribosomal RNA", at positions 448 to 1320 of the family's 1533-position model. The record is from RNAcentral. Lineage: Bacteria; Pseudomonadati; Planctomycetota.